GGUCCCAUAGCUCAGUUGGUUAGAGCGUCGUACUAAUAUUCGAGCACCUCGAAUACGUGGUAAUGCGAAGGUCUCAGGUUCGAGCCCUGGUGGGACCA
RNAcentral lists this transfer RNA (98 nucleotides) under Hirsutella minnesotensis 3608. It matches the Rfam family "tRNA". From Rfam's summary of the family: Transfer RNA (tRNA) molecules are approximately 80 nucleotides in length. Lineage: Eukaryota; Fungi; Ascomycota; Sordariomycetes; Hypocreales; Ophiocordycipitaceae. The record is from Rfam by way of RNAcentral.